RNAcentral lists this ribosomal RNA (355 nucleotides) under uncultured bacterium. RNAcentral describes it as "bacterial SSU rRNA". It matches the Rfam family "Bacterial small subunit ribosomal RNA", at positions 28 to 383 of the family's 1533-position model. The record is from RNAcentral.
GACGAACGCUGGCGGCGUGCUUAACACAUGCAAGUCGAGCGGUAAGGCCCUUUCGGGGGUACACGAGCGGCGAACGGGUGAGUAACACGUGGGUGACCUGCCCUCAGCUCUGGGAUAAGCCUGGGAAACCGGGUCUAAUACUGGAUAUGACUCCAUGACGCAUGUUGUGGGGUGGAAAGCCUUGUGCGGCUGAGGAUGGGCCCGNGGCCUAUCAGCUUGUUGGUGGGGUNAGGCCUACCAAGGCGACGACGGGUAGCCGGCCUGAGAGGGCGACCGGCCACACUGGGACUGAGACACGGGCCCAGACUCCUACGGGAGGCAGCAGUGGGGGAAUCUUGCGCAAUGGGCGAAAGCC